UGCGUAUUAUUUUAUAAUUUAAUUUUGUUUUCUUGUUUGUUUAUCAAAGUAUUGUUCUGUUGUUGUAUUUUAUUGAUUUAAUUCGUUUUGUUAUAGUUUACUUGUACUGUGAGGGGUUUAAUUUGUUGCUUGUGUAAGUGGGUUUUGUUUGCCGUACCUUUUGUAUCAGGGUUUACUAAUUAUUAUUAUUUAUUUUUUAUUUCCCGAUUCCAAAGGAGUUAAUUGGUUGUUUUAGUUACUGUUUCAUCAGUAUUAAUAACAUUUAUUUGGCAGUGAUAUGUUAGUCGUUUUUGGUGGUAUCUGGUUUCUUAAGAGAUGAAUUUAAUUCACGUUCCUUAUUUGAAUAUCACUUUUUGUUGUUUAAUCUUAUUUGUGACGAAGGUUCUGGGGGAUAAGCUUUGGUUCUAGUUAUUAUAAUGUUUUUUUUGGUGCUGUUUUAGUGGGCUUUAUGGUGGCUAUCUAUUUGAGUAUGUUAAAAUUUUACUCUUGUUGUUUGUGAUUUUCGUUUAUAUUUAAUUAUUUAUUAGGAUGUUUGGUUGAACUUUUUAUCUGUUGUAUUUUUGGUAAGAUUAGUAUAUAUAUAUUUCUUUUAAGUUUAGUUAGAGCAAGUGUUAAGUUUUUCAAAGGAAUUAGGCAAGAUUUAAUCGGCGCCCGCCUGUUUAACAAAAACAUCUCCUCUUGUAGAUAUUUUGAGGUAUGGCCUGCCCACUGAAUUUAUUGAAGGGCCGCGGUAUUUUGACCGUGCAAAGGUAGCAUAAUCAUUAGUUUUUUAAUUUUGAACUGGUAUGAAUGGUUUGACGAGGUGCCAACUGUCUUUGUUAAAAUUGGUUUAGAAUUUAGUGUCUUGGUAAAAAUACCUAGAUUUUGUUAUGGGACGAGAAGACCCUAUAGAGUUUGAUAUAUUUUGCUCUUUUUCAGUUUGUUGGUUCUUGUUGGGGUGGCUAUAUUUUGUUGGGGUGAUGGGAGAAUAUAGUAAACUUCUCUUUUAUGUUUUUCAUUUAUUUAUGUUUGCUUGAUCCUUUAUUAUUGAUUAUAAGAUUAAAUUACCUUAGGGAUAACAGCGUAAUCUUUUUUGAGAGUUCUUAUUGACGGGAAGGUUUGCGACCUCGAUGUUGGAUUAAGAUGAAUUUUUGGUGUAGAGGCUUUAUUAAAUUUAUUAGGUCUGUUCGACCUUUAAAAUCUUACAUGAUCUGAGUUCAAACCGGCGUGAGCCAGGUUGGUUUCUAUCUAUAAUAUUUUUUAAUUUCUUAGUACGAGAGGACCAGAUAUUUGGAAUAAUUUUCUUUGAUGUUUGAAUUUUAGUAAUUU
RNAcentral lists this ribosomal RNA (1308 nucleotides) under Pterotermes occidentis. RNAcentral's name for it is "16S ribosomal RNA". The stretch from base 844 to 1237 matches the Rfam family "Bacterial large subunit ribosomal RNA", at positions 2049 to 2651 of the family's 2925-position model. Lineage: Eukaryota; Metazoa; Arthropoda; Insecta; Blattodea; Kalotermitidae. The record is from RNAcentral.